RNAcentral lists this ribosomal RNA (484 nucleotides) under uncultured bacterium. RNAcentral's name for it is "partial 16S ribosomal RNA". It matches the Rfam family "Bacterial small subunit ribosomal RNA", at positions 30 to 507 of the family's 1533-position model. The record is from RNAcentral.
AUUGAACGCUGGCGGCAGGCCUAACACAUGCAAGUCGAGCGGAUGAAGGGAGCUUGCUCCUGGAUUCAGCGGCGGACGGGUGAGUAAUGCCUAGGAAUCUGCCUGGUAGUGGGGGAUAACGUCCGGAAACGGGCGCUAAUACCGCAUACGUCCUGAGGGAGAAAGUGGGGGAUCUUCGGACCUCACGCUAUCAGAUGAGCCUAGGUCGGAUUAGCUAGUUGGUGGGGUAAAGGCCUACCAAGGCGACGAUCCGUAACUGGUCUGAGAGGAUGAUCAGUCACACUGGAACUGAGACACGGUCCAGACUGCUACGGGAGGCAGCAGUGGGGAAUAUUGGACAAUGGGCGAAAGCCUGAUCCAGCCAUGCCGCGUGUGUGAAGAAGGUCUUCGGAUUGUAAAGCACUUUAAGUUGGGAGGAAGGGCAGUAAGUUAAUACCUUGCUGUUUUGACGGUACCAACAGAAUAAGCACCGGCUAACUUCGUG